AAAGUGUUGUAAAGGCUCACCUUUUAGCACAUUCACUUCACCAGAUGCACCUUGUUUCUUUUCCUCACCUUUAAUUGGGUGUGGUGCUUGGCCUUAAUUGCACUCACCUGUCACUCAUUAUAUAAGGACUGCACUCACCUACCCCUCACUCUUCCUUCACUCCCACAUGAGGCGGCAGCUGAGAGAUAGCAGUCCAUGUGUGUCUUUCCUUCUUUGCUUUAUUGAGUUGAGAAUAAAAGGAGAACCCUGUGAAUGAUUAGAUGACUGCUUAUUCUCAUUCUGAUCGGAUGAGCCCAUGAUGCUGAUUAUCUAAACCCUGAACCUUCCUUCCUCCAAAACAGAAAGAAAAGAGCUAACAAAGACAUGCAGCUGAAGUACUCUGAAGGAGAGAUGCAGGGAGGCACAGACAAUAGACGAACGGUCUGUGCAGCUCACAAAAGCAGCGAGGAACAGAUCGAACAUACCGAACUCUCCUUACCCGAGCUGAGUGGGUGCAGUCUUCAGCCCUGAGCGUCUCAUCUUAUUAUCUGCCCUCGUAGCAAAUGUGGCUCAAGUGUCGGAGCGGCCUGUGUACCAGCCGGAAGGUCAGCAGAUCAAUUCCCGGCCGCUCCAGUCUGCAUGUCAAAGUAACCUCAGGCUGCUGAACAUUCAGUGUGUAAAUAUUAGAAAAGCACAUAGGAAAGCGUAAGAUGCCAAAGAGGAAUCGUUCAGUCUCAUGGGACGCUGAUCCAGCUCGUGAUCCUCUGCAUGUCAUGUUUUCUCUGGUUGUGUAUUUUUGAUCAUCGUUAUUAAGCCUUCUGUUCUGCUGUUAUGUUUACAUUCAUGGUGCUGAUGAUGAUCCUGUUUUCUGUCUCUGUGUAGAGUUCAUAUGUUAGUUGGUCUGUUAGUUAUUUCCUGUCUUAUUUUCUUAUUAUUCUCUUGUGCUUUGUAUUUUUAUAGUUCUGCUUCAGCUCUUCUCCCACCUGUCUCCUGAUCCGUCGUUAUCCCAUGUGUACAUAAUGUCUCAGUUCCCUUUGUUGGGUUCUCCCUCAUAGUGUUCCUCCUUGUUCUGUGUUCUCCAAGAAGAUUUGUGGUUUGAAUCUUGUUUUUAUUUUUCAUAUCCUGUACAGAUUUUCUACUGAGUUCCAAGAAAAAAAUCUGUAAAGGAAUAACCUGUUUUAUGUGCACUGUAUGAAUAUAGCAUGGUGAAAUAUAUCACUUUAUUACAACACUUCUGUCAGUUGUUUUCACACCGUUAUAUUUUGCCAUAAAUGACUGUUUCCCUGUUUUAUAUUCUGAUCAGUAUGAAGAAACGUCCCCACAGACCUCAGUUGCAUGAAAAGUCGAACAAAAAGCUGACAGCGUGUAGCCAAUCAGCAGCUGAGCCCUGUCUA
Oreochromis niloticus (Nile tilapia) is the source of this 1373-nucleotide long non-coding RNA. RefSeq lists it as uncharacterized. The transcript is spliced from 4 exons. NCBI's taxonomy places the organism in Eukaryota, Metazoa, Chordata, Actinopteri, Cichliformes, Cichlidae. The record is from RefSeq and is a predicted model, not a curated record.